Molecule: non-coding RNA, 68 nt
Organism: Trichonephila inaurata madagascariensis
Lineage: Eukaryota; Metazoa; Arthropoda; Arachnida; Araneae; Nephilidae
Source: the annotation of a GenBank genome assembly
GGGGGCGUAGCUCAGAUGGUAGAGCGCUCGCUUAGCAUGCGAGAGGUACGGGGUACCCCGCGCCUCCA